RNAcentral lists this ribosomal RNA (497 nucleotides) under uncultured bacterium. Its description in RNAcentral is "partial 16S ribosomal RNA". It matches the Rfam family "Bacterial small subunit ribosomal RNA", at positions 28 to 507 of the family's 1533-position model. The record is from RNAcentral.
GAUGAACGCUGGCGGCGUGCCUAAUACAUGCAAGUCGAGCGAACGGACGAGAAGCUUGCUUCUCUGAUGUUAGCGGCGGACGGGUGAGUAACACGUGGAUAACCUACCUAUAAGACUGGGAUAACUUCGGGAAACCGGAGCUAAUACCGGAUAAUAUUUUGAACCGCAUGGUUCAAAAGUGAAAGACGGUCUUGCUGUCACUUAUAGAUGGAUCCGCGCUGCAUUAGCUAGUUGGUAAGGUAACGGCUUACCAAGGCAACGAUGCAUAGCCGACCUGAGAGGGUGAUCGGCCACACUGGAACUGAGACACGGUCCAGACUCCUACGGGAGGCAGCAGUAGGGAAUCUACCGCAAUGGGCGAAAGCCUGACGGAGCAACGCCGCGUGAGUGAUGAAGGUCUUCGGAUCGUAAAACUCUGUUAUUAGGGAAGAACAUAUGUGUAAGUAACUGUGCACAUCUUGACGGUACCUAAUCAGAAAGCCACGGCUAACUACGUG